UACGUAGGGAGCAAGCGUUGUCCGGAAUCAUUGGGCGUAAAGCGCACGUAGGCGGCUUGUUAAGUCAGGGGUGAAAUCCUGGAGCUCAACUCCAGAACUGCCUUUGAUACUGGCGAGCUUGAGUUCGGGAGAGGUGAGUGGAACUGCGAGUGUAGAGGUGAAAUUCGUAGAUAUUCGCAAGAACACCAGUGGCGAAGGCGGCUCACUGGCCCGAUACUGACGCUGAGGUGCGAAAGCGUGGGGAGCAAACAGG
Molecule: ribosomal RNA, 253 nt
Filed under: uncultured bacterium
Lineage: Bacteria
Description: partial 16S ribosomal RNA
Rfam family: Bacterial small subunit ribosomal RNA
Source: RNAcentral